This 305-nucleotide ribosomal RNA is filed under the name uncultured bacterium. RNAcentral describes it as "bacterial SSU rRNA". It matches the Rfam family "Bacterial small subunit ribosomal RNA", at positions 333 to 655 of the family's 1533-position model. The record is from RNAcentral.
UCUAUCCUACGGGGGGCAGCAGUGGGGAAUAUUGCACAAUGGGGGAAACCCUGAUGCAGCAACGCUGCGUGAGUGAUGACGGCCUUCGGGUUGUAAAGCUCUGUCUUCAGGGACGAUAAUGACGGUACCUGAGGAGGAAGCCACGGCUAACUACGUGCCAGCAGCCGCGGUAAUACGUAGGUGGCGAGCGUUGUCCGGAUUUACUGGGCGUAAAGGACGCGUAGGCGGACUUUUAAGUGAGAUGUGAAAUACUCGGGCUCAACUUGAGUGCUGCAUUUCAAACUGGAAGUCUAGAGUGCCGGAGA